Molecule: unclassified non-coding RNA, 319 nt
Filed under: Hevea brasiliensis (rubber tree)
Lineage: Eukaryota; Viridiplantae; Streptophyta; Magnoliopsida; Malpighiales; Euphorbiaceae
Source: RNAcentral
CCAUUUGAUCUUUGCCUAAACCAAUUCAAAUAGAGAGGAUUGGGAGUACCAACAUCCAAGGUCAGUGUUGGCGUUGUGGCAGCAGGAUUAAUAUGGUCUGCCAAAUUGUAGCUAUGCAAUAAUGGAAGAAGUUGAGCAUGCCAUAAAUGAUAGUUUGACGAGGUGAGUUUAAUGGUGAGAAGUGGGGCGACAUUGGGAAGAGAUGGUGUAGUGGGGACGAUUUAUGUUGUAGCAGUGGUGUUGGAAACUAUAGCUUGGGCGUUAGUCAAGAGCCUCUAGCUUAGCAGCGUUUUUGAGGCAACAUGACUAACGCCCAAGC